GCCGGGUUGGCCGAGCGGCAUAGGCAGCGGGCUGCAGACCCGUGGACGGGGGUUCGAAUCCCCCACCCGGCU
RNAcentral lists this transfer RNA (72 nucleotides) under Candidatus Korarchaeum cryptofilum OPF8. RNAcentral's name for it is "tRNA-Cys (GCA) (tRNA-Cys-GCA-1-1)". It matches the Rfam family "tRNA". Rfam says of the family: Transfer RNA (tRNA) molecules are approximately 80 nucleotides in length. Their secondary structure includes four short double-helical elements and three loops (D, anti-codon, and T loops). RNAcentral also lists the same sequence under 2 other names. The record is from Rfam by way of RNAcentral. Lineage: Archaea; Thermoproteati; Thermoproteota; Candidatus Korarchaeia; Candidatus Korarchaeales; Candidatus Korarchaeaceae.